CAGUAGCCGCGGGAACACGUAGGUGGCAAGCGUUGUCCGGAAUUAUUGGGCGUAAAGCGCGCGCAGGCGGAUCAGUCAGUCUGUCUUAAAAGUUCGGGGCUUAACCCCGUGAUGGGAUGGAAACUGCUGAUCUAGAGUAUCGGAGAGGAAAGUGGAAUUCCUAGUGUAGCGGUGAAAUGCGUAGAUAUUGGGAAGAACGCCAGUGGCGAAGGCGACUUUCUGGACGAAAACUGACGCUGAGGCGCGAAAGCCAGGGGAGCGAACGGGAUUAGAUACCCGUGUAGUCCCUGUCUCUUAUACC
This 301-nucleotide ribosomal RNA is filed under the name uncultured bacterium. RNAcentral describes it as "partial 16S ribosomal RNA". It matches the Rfam family "Bacterial small subunit ribosomal RNA", at positions 509 to 808 of the family's 1533-position model. The record is from RNAcentral.